Molecule: ribosomal RNA, 111 nt
Filed under: Ligilactobacillus acidipiscis
Lineage: Bacteria; Bacillati; Bacillota; Bacilli; Lactobacillales; Lactobacillaceae
Source: RNAcentral
GGUGGCGAUAGCACGAAGGCUACACCUGUUCCCAUGCCGAACACAGCAGUUAAGCUUCGUCACGCCAAGAGUAGUUGGGGGAUCGCCCCCCUGUGAGGGUAGGUAGCUGCC